This 304-nucleotide ribosomal RNA is filed under the name uncultured bacterium. Its description in RNAcentral is "partial 16S ribosomal RNA". It matches the Rfam family "Bacterial small subunit ribosomal RNA", at positions 506 to 807 of the family's 1533-position model. The record is from RNAcentral.
CAGCAGCCGCCGCGGUAAUACGUAGGUGGCAAGCGUUGUCCGGAAUUAUUGGGCGUAAAGGGCUCGCAGGCGGUUUCUUAAGUCUGAUGUGAAAGCCCCCGGCUCAACCGGGGAGGGUCAUUGGAAACUGGGAAACUUGAGUGCAGAAGAGGAGAGUGGAAUUCCACGUGUAGCGGUGAAAUGCGUAGAGAUGUGGAGGAACACCAAUGGCGAAGGCAGCUUCUUGGUCCAUUCCUGACGUUCAUACACGAAAGCGUGGGGAGCAAACAGGAUUAGAUACCCGCGUAGUCCCUGUCUCUUAUAC